GCUGAUCUAUAUCUGCGGCGAGGCUGGGACGGAGGCACCGCCCCGCCCGACCCCACAGAACCUCGCGGGCCCUACACUCCCCCUGCCGAGGUUGAAGUCCCCAGCGGUUGGAAGAUCGGCCAAUUGUAGUGUAUUUAUCAGAAAAGUGACUCAUCCUUGAUCCUCAUUUCCCGGUCUGUCGCCUUUGUAGAAACCCCGAGGAUGGCAACCUUCAACCUGGAGAUCCCUGAAGCCUUGACCAGGGAGGUUUACAGUGAAGCGUUCCUAUUAGCGACUACAGCUAUCUAACCUCAGUUCCUCCUGCUGCAGUUUCGGUCCCUUUCUCCUCCUCCUCCAGCAACCACGCCCUCCAUGAAUCAGCUUCUUGCACCAGCAGAUGAGCCCUUUAAAGGGAUUGCAUCAGGGAUAACGCUUGGGGGAUCACUGUGAGGACUCGGAGUUAUAGAAACAGCUUUUUGCAAGACGCAGCGAGCACUCAUACUCAUCUCAGUUGAAGGGCUUCAAUGAGGUGGGUGACCAAAAGACAGGCAUAAAGAAGGCCCCAGCCCAGCAAGCUCCACUCUCUGACAAAACAAAAAGCCUAGGGAUUCCGGAAGCCCUGACUCUGACAAAAAUGAGUUCUGGGUUUUCCAGAGCUCUAAUUAUCAGCUAGAUGAAUCACUCUGCGCUGACACCACCAUUCCUACCCCCAGGAGACUCUCAGCUGAUUGAAAAUAUAGGAUUUUAACAAAGGAGAGGAGGAGGAACAGAAAGCUAGGAGGAGAAGAAGUAAUGAAUAGAAACCAAAGGUGCCAGCCAGAGGAAAUGAGAAACUGUCAUCAGGACACUAGCAUGAGGAGAACGCUGGGACACACACACACACACACACUCACACUCACACUCACGCUGACAUACUCUUGCUGGCUCUCCAACUCUAGGCUUACGGCAGACGGUGCUGCCAUAACAAAGUGACGGCUGUCACAACAGCAUGAGAUGGUGGCUUGACAAGGUAUAGGCAGAUCUGCCUAUCACAGAAGGAGGGAAAGAGACCUUCAACCUCCAGGGGCUUCCUCAGGCUUCUGAACCCUCGUCUCCAUUACUGGUUGGCUCUGGCUUCUCUUUGUCACCAAAUCGCAAGGCCUAAAUCUGGCAAAUUUUGAGUGUCAGACCUACACCCUGUGGCUAGGUACCACCACUGUGGUGAACAAAGUCACCUCUUAUACUCUGUCAUCAGUAUGAUGCCAAGAGUGCUGGGAAACAGAAUAGCACAGCAGUUAAGAUCAUCGAGUUGGAGUCGCACAGACCUAAGUUCAAAUCCCCAUUCUGUUGUUCACCUUGAGCAGGCCACAUAAAUUCCUUGAGCCGGUUUGCUCAAAUGUAAAA
Molecule: long non-coding RNA, 1362 nt
Organism: Pan troglodytes (chimpanzee)
Lineage: Eukaryota; Metazoa; Chordata; Mammalia; Primates; Hominidae
Exons: 3
Source: RefSeq, a predicted model, not a curated record